AGGGUUAUAAGCUCAAUGGUAGAGUGCAUGCUUAGCAUGCACCAGGUCCUGGGUUCAAUCCCCAGUACCUCCA
This 73-nucleotide transfer RNA is filed under the name Camelus bactrianus (Bactrian camel). It matches the Rfam family "tRNA". Rfam says of the family: Transfer RNA (tRNA) molecules are approximately 80 nucleotides in length. The record is from Rfam by way of RNAcentral. Lineage: Eukaryota; Metazoa; Chordata; Mammalia; Artiodactyla; Camelidae. RNAcentral also lists the same sequence under 2 other names.